Molecule: long non-coding RNA, 929 nt
Organism: Drosophila montana
Lineage: Eukaryota; Metazoa; Arthropoda; Insecta; Diptera; Drosophilidae
Exons: 2
Source: RefSeq, a predicted model, not a curated record
UGCCUUGUUUUUGCAGUUUUUUUCAUUUGAGUUUAAAAAAAUUUUACGUAUUAAAAGUAAAAAUUACCUGUACAAAAAAAAAUUGAAAAGUAUUAAAAAUCAAAAAAAAUAUCAAAGAAUGGGUGCCAAUUGCUGUAAAUGUUGUUGUUGUUGUUAUGAAGGCACACCGCAGCCUCCAAAGAUGAAACGCGAAGUUAAAAUCAAGCCCUCAAAGGAAUAUUGCCAUAGACCCGACCUUCCACCUCAACCCCAACGCUCCAAUAUCCGUUGCCAGUGCCUGCCCAAGAUAACUCCGAGUGUUAUCUAAAGACUGGAGUCUUAUGUGCCUAUUUUGUUCCGAGGGGGGAUUUCUAUCUGUCUGCACAAUAUGUAAGCAAAAUGUGUGGCACAAAAUCAACUUUUACCCACAGCUGAUGUUUGCGUUUACUCGUAUUUUAUUGCCACGUAAGUAGCACGAUCAUAAAUCAGAGGCAACAUCUGCACAGACGGAAGUGAGUGGGGAGAGGGGGCAGCCGCACUGUGGGUUGGGGGCAGCCACGGUAUAUGAAGCAGACGCGCAGCUAUGAAAAACAAAAAAAAAGGUCGGUUUGAUGAUGUCAAUGUUAUGCAAAAAACCCUUCAAAUGUUAGUCAUGGACAGAGCAAGAUUGAGGGGAAUUGAAACAGAAAAACAAACCAAAAUAACUAGCGCAAAAUGACUCAAGAAGAAGACAUUUUAAAACAGAAUUGGAUUAUAAUGAAAUAUUAAUCAAUGUCAAGGCCACAAACGUGAAGAAAACUACAAAAAAUUCGGAUCAAGAAUAAUAGAUAUGAAACUUGUAAGGAGUAGUAUGUUAUUUUAUACAUUGUACAUGUAUCUAAUAUUUAUUUAAUUUAUAUUAAAACCGCACGCAUUCGCUGAAGCCAAUGUUAAUCGAUAUAUAAAAUUCA